Non-coding RNA from Oryzias latipes (Japanese medaka), 410 nucleotides. The record is from RefSeq and is a predicted model, not a curated record. NCBI's taxonomy places the organism in Eukaryota, Metazoa, Chordata, Actinopteri, Beloniformes, Adrianichthyidae.
AAAAAUGAAAUGAGAUGUCACAUCGUGAAUCCGAUUGGUUUGAACAGACACACAAGUGGAGAAAUGACAAGUAAAUCAGUAAAUGCAGUGACGCUUUCAAGAUAUUGUGCAGGUUCCAGGAAAAUGAUGUGAAUUCAGCUGCCAUUUUUCCGUGGGACCGACGUCCCCAUGUUGGAGCCAGACAUCGCAAGUAAGCUGUGAUUGGCCUCAGCCGAUCUGAAUCAACACUUCCAUGGCAACCACUCUCACCAAUCAGGACGCAGCUUGUUGGAAGUCCCCGCUCCACUUGGGAGAAUCUGUCACUCCAAGGAUUUGAACAUUUGAUGUCAGACCACAUACUUUUAGUGAGGCAUCUGACUAGUCAGUUUAUAACUGGAAUAACUUGCAAUAAAGAAAAAAUAUGGAAAUAA